Helianthus annuus (common sunflower) is the source of this 404-nucleotide long non-coding RNA. RefSeq lists it as uncharacterized. The transcript is spliced from 3 exons. NCBI's taxonomy places the organism in Eukaryota, Viridiplantae, Streptophyta, Magnoliopsida, Asterales, Asteraceae. The record is from RefSeq and is a predicted model, not a curated record.
CUUCUUCCACAGGAGCCAAGGAGAACUCCUUGUUCAAAUCCUAACAAGUCUAAAUCCAAGAAAUUGAAAGGCCAAAUCAGUCCCAAAUCGAAAUCCAAGCUUAUAUUAGUGAUCACCUAAGUGAGGGAUCACAAGUUUGUCGCUUGACAAGCUAGGUGGAGGCUUGGAAAGGAAGCGGGUCAAAUGAAUCAUGUGUGAAGGAAAAGCGUGUUUUGGACGCAAGGUGUCUUUGAACUUAGGAUGGAUGAAGAUCAAGUGACGAACAUGAACCGAACACACGUUAAAUGAAGCUUCCGCGUUAAAUCUUGUUUUGUUUUAUAAAAGUGGAUUAUGUAAACACUUUUAAUGAUAUUUUGGAUGUUGAAAACAUUUUUAAAUACUUAUUAUGUAGAAGUUUUUGUUAA